This is a long non-coding RNA of Macadamia integrifolia, 1130 nucleotides long. RefSeq lists it as uncharacterized. The record is from RefSeq and is a predicted model, not a curated record. The transcript has 2 exons. Lineage: Eukaryota; Viridiplantae; Streptophyta; Magnoliopsida; Proteales; Proteaceae.
GCUAGUUGGCUGCUAAAGUUCUUGAUGAAGUGCCUGUAGAAAGUAGCUAGUCUAUGGAAGCUUUGAACUUCUGUAAAAGACAUUGGUGUAGGCCACUCCACUAUGGCCCGUACCUUUUCCUUGUCUACCUAAACUCCAUCUGAACUCAUUUCGUUGUUUCUCGAUAACUUGUUAUUGAGCCAAAAAGGCACCUCUCCUCGAUAAAAAAUGAGCCCUUCCUCAAGGGCUCAUUUUCUUCUCACCUGUUGAAACUCCUCUGCUAGAUUCGUCUGCUACCUCUAGCAAGAUUCGCCCUUCCUCAGCCUCGUGAUCACUGAGCUACAUCCUGUGAACCCUAUGGGAGAUUCGCCCUUCUUGCAGAGAUUUGUUGUUCCCACUGAUCACUGACCUAUAUGCGUGAAAGAGUGGGUUUUUACCUCACCCUUGAAGAGUAUACAAAAGUCGCAAAAUCAGAUGACUUCUACCCCAGAUCAUUCUUCAUAAUCGAUCACUGAAACUCAGGUUGUUUAGUUGAAGGUUCGGCUCCUCCAUCCACAAGUUGUUCUCUCCUCUGCAAGGUAGGAUCUGAGGUCUCCCCCAUUUUUCUGAAACCCGAGAAAAUUUUUGUUCGAAAUGUCUACGAUCUGCUUCAACUCUGUGUUUUGAUGCAACAUCCAAGAAAGUUCAUGCUAUUAUUUACCUCCAUCGAGCUUUAUUCUUUAAUUCGAUAGCAGCAAUAGUGUGUGGAUCGGCUAAAAGGGAGAAAUCAAGAGGAUUUUUCGUAUCAUCGCUUACUUAGGAAACUGACUGAGAAUCAGCAUCUUAUGUAUUGACUUCUACACUGAUGAUAUCCCGGAGAAGCAACCGCAGUCAUUUAUUUGGGUGGAUGAUUACAGAGUGGGAAUUGACCAUGGAGUUCAGAUGUAUUAACCUUUGUUAGGUUUUGGGGUGACUACACGUUACUUUUUUAUUUUUAGGGUGAGAAAUGCUACCCGAUAGUGCUUGUAUACACCAAUGCCUGCGGUGAAUGGGAGGGUGCAUGCGAGCAUCUACAAAGCAGGGGAAAGUAGUCUUUUGACACCCAUUGUAUCUUGUUGCAAGAACACACUAUCGUGUAAUGUUCAUUCUUCCUUAUUUUUAUUGAUGCACAA